CAAAUUAAAGCUUUAAAGAAAAGUUUUUCAUUUACAUUGAAAAGAGGUUGUGCAAAUCAAUAUAAUUUGA
RNAcentral lists this transfer RNA (70 nucleotides) under Neoneuromus fenestralis. RNAcentral's name for it is "tRNA-Val". Lineage: Eukaryota; Metazoa; Arthropoda; Insecta; Megaloptera; Corydalidae. The record is from RNAcentral.